RNAcentral lists this long non-coding RNA (2211 nucleotides) under Neodiprion pinetum (white pine sawfly). RNAcentral describes it as "uncharacterized LOC124223579". The record is from RNAcentral. Lineage: Eukaryota; Metazoa; Arthropoda; Insecta; Hymenoptera; Diprionidae.
CUUAUUCAGUCAUAGAUUAAAAUAUAAACAUUUCCCAUAUUUGUUCUCCAGUAAUUAUGUACAAGAAAAGUUUAUAUUAUUUUCCAUUGUUCUUUUCAUCAUCAUUAAUCGCGAAUCGCAAAUAAGAAUUUCGGUGUAAGCGUAGGCGUGGUGAGUGAGCGAGCGGGCUGCCAAAUGACAUGUUCUCGUACAUACAAAAGUGAAGUGAUUAAUCAUAUCAGCGUAUCCUGGAAGAGGAGGAAGGAGAGACAAGGAUAGAGAAGAAAAAUCCCAACCUCGACACUGCGAGAAGUGAUAAUUCAUCUCACGAGGACCUGCGACAAUCUUUUACCGAAAUGUUCAUCGCGACUAAUAACAUAUUUCAGGUGCGAUAAAUUGGGAAUGCGGGGAACAAGCGUUUAGCCCAGGAUUCACGUUCGAUAUCCGUUACCCGGGAUGCACGCAACGAGAAUUGCGGCUCCGGUGUUAAAGGCAACGGUAUAAAUGGCGACCGGCGUGAUUCCUUCGGGUAAACGUGAGAAAAUUAACGAUCCAAGUACGCAAUUGCCGGGUUAACGAACCGCAUCUAUGUGGAAUAAAUUUAUGCAUAGAUUAGUAUUUACCAUUUUGAAAUCUCACGGAAUCCAAGAAGCCAAAUAAAUAAGCACUUUUCACCACUUUCACGGGUUCUCGAUUGAGUGGAACUGGAUAGCUCUGUCCGGUUGGGGGUCGCGCUCAAACGGGAAGGGAGUUUCCUUUCCCUGUGUAUCAAUGCGCGUGACGACUCCUGAUUGGCUGUUGAGACGAUUCCAAUUCGGCUGAUAGCUGUCGUUAUUUUUUUCGCUCAUUUUCAACCGGUCGAAUGAUUUACGUCCAGGGGAUUUAUGCUUGUGGAUUAUAUCGAUAACGCGUUAUUUUCGUGUCUCAUUUGGCGGAACGGUUGAAAUUAUUUACGUAUAUUGUGCCUCAUGUACACGCCGGUAGGACUACUUUUCGCGGCGCAGUGGCGUAGCACGGUUACGUCAGUAGUUUAUAGAAUCACUAUUUUUUAGUCGCAGUAUCCAUCCGCGAACUCACUCGUGUUUUGAUUACGAUCAAACUUUAACUUAGGGAUGAUGCCACUGUAUCUUGGUCGCCAAAAGCGGCCCUGAAACCAGGUGGAAUAAAUUUUUGCCAAUAGUUGUUAAAUAGUCAUCGAUAUGAUGUGUCAUUUUGUUUGGCCAAUCAGAGCCAUCGAAAUGGGGAAAUUACCUUAUAUGGGCAGCGGUGUGCAGCUGACCCUCGUGCCGCGUGCGCACGACCCUUCUCAUCGAACUGUCAAUUUUCAAAGCUUUGUUUGUUUCAAAAAUCACUAAUUCACUGUCAGCUCUAUUCGAUUAGUCAAGAAUUAUAAUUGAUUCAUUGAAAAUUGUAUUUGAUUCAAUUCUCUGAUUUACUUACGCCAGAAUUUCAUUAACGAACAUUCAUACAAAAAAAAAGUGCAAUUGCCCAGACAAGAUGCGAUGAUGCAAACGAUACUUGCUAUAAACUAAUUUCGGCUGCUUUUCACUAUUUGAAAGUUACUUUUUGGCACGAUUGAAAUCUUGAUUUUACAAACUUUCAAAUAUCAAUGCGUUUGUGUUUGAUCUCUACAUCUAAGUAUUGGAAUUAAGGAUGAUGUUUGGCAGCUGAUCUAAAAACCUUUUUAUCAAGCAACCUUUCCUUAAAUUUGUCGUGUAAAUAAAUGAAUUAUAUUGUAGCUAUCAGGGCUUGCAAAAAAUUUUACAUUUGUAUUGAAUGUUAGAAUACUAUUUAAAAUAAUUAUAUUCGCAGCUCGCCUGUAGCUUGGUCAUCGUGGGUGUUACAAAUUUGUAUUGAAAGAGUGUUAUUGAGAUUGGGAGUAACAAUUUUUAAUGAUAGUAUUUUUUUUUUCUUCACAUACACUGAUUGCCGAAUGAGAUAAGAAUUUUGUAAUUGAUUUUCUUUCGUGCUACAUAAUUUAUUUCUAAGAAAUGUUUGAUUAUUAGAUGUGUGUUUGCAAUUCCAAAUUGCAGAAUAAUUUGAUCACAAUGUGCGAAUUUACUUUUUUCAUUUUAAAUGGCUAUGGGAGACGUAUGACACAUAAGAAACGAAACUCAAAUUGAUUAAACUUAAAACAAUCAACAAACUUCUUGGAGGUUGCUUUUGGAAAUAGCACUUUAUUUAAAAAACAAUGGCGGUACACAUUGUUCAUCUGCUGUGGUCUUCAAAUCA